GAUUAGUCGACUAAUCAUAAAAAAUAAUCGGUGAUUAGUCGACUAUAAAAAUAAUCGUUUGUGGCAGCCCUACUCUCAUGAUGCUCUGUUGAUCCCAAUGUUCUAUGUACAUAAAACAAACUUUUCUUGUACUUUUAUUCGUUUGUAUCUCUAAAUAUACAGUAGAUAUCACGUUGUCAGUGCUUAAAAACAUACUGAUCAAUGGCACAAUUGAUUUUAGAAAGUCUAAUUAGUCCUGUUUAAUUGGAUGAAGUGUGGCACAUAAAAAAAAUAAACCACUACCACUAUGGACGUGUGACUCGGUUCUCUCUCUGGGCCUCCACAGGAGCGGCAGAUGCUGCUGGUGAGUGAUAUACUUGUCCAUGACAGCAAAUCAAGUGCCUGCCUUAAUGAUGAGCAGAAAUCCAUGCUGGCCAACUUCAAUCACAGAGGAGCCAACAUUACUCAGCGCAGGACCAGGAGGUUAUCAGUGAUCGAUGAGUCCUCGUUUCUGUCUCAUUCGGACAUCAGCUACGACCGAACUGAUGAUGACCUGGACUUGGAGAGUUCGGCAGUGGUGAAGCCUCUGAAGUCGAGAGCUCGUGAGAAAAGACGUUCCUCCAUGGGGCCUAACGUUGGUGUUCAGAUGCAGAAGCGUGGUCGUGGACGUUCUGGGGACCUCCUUGCUGGACGGCAAAUGGAAAAGGUGAAGAUGUCUUAUCGAUUUGAAAUUGACCCAAAAAAACUACACCUGAUCCCAAGACUGACCUCAAUACCAAAUAAAACCACCUACACACCUAAGCCUGAC
This 787-nucleotide long non-coding RNA is filed under the name Astyanax mexicanus (Mexican tetra). Its description in RNAcentral is "lncRNA (ENSAMXG00005002318.1)". The record is from RNAcentral. Lineage: Eukaryota; Metazoa; Chordata; Actinopteri; Characiformes; Acestrorhamphidae.